Macrobrachium nipponense is the source of this 517-nucleotide long non-coding RNA. RefSeq lists it as uncharacterized. NCBI's taxonomy places the organism in Eukaryota, Metazoa, Arthropoda, Malacostraca, Decapoda, Palaemonidae. The transcript has 2 exons. The record is from RefSeq and is a predicted model, not a curated record.
CUAAAACAUGAGUGUUAACUAAAAAUCAUUUCUCAUCAUAAUUCACAUUUAUGGCUUACUUGCAGAUAAACAAAAGCUUCAGUGCUGACAGUUCAAGAAUAAUAUUAAUACCUACGAAAUUUAUAAUGUUUUUGUGGAGAAUACUUCAACUGCUGAUGUGUCUUGCAUUAACUAUCUCAUUAGUUUAUGCACGAGGUGGCGUGCACUUCCGUCUGCCAAAAAAUAACAAAAAUACCAGAAAGAAUCGACAGUUUAGGGCAAUGAAGCCAGCCAACUACCCAGCACAGCCUGCUAAUUUUCAUUCGCCAACUUUUAAUCAACAAUACCAAGGAUUUCCUUAUGAUCCAACGGGACAUGGCGCCCCAGAAUUUUCCUUUUUCUCUACAAAAUAAUACUACAGAAACUUCUUGUGUGAAUUUAUUCAAGGCUUUUAUCAAAGUACCAAAUGACCCUACGAUAUCAUUUACGAUGUAAAAUCUAAACGUCCACAAUGUAUAAAAAUAAACAAGACAAAAGA